GACGAACGCUGGCGGCGUGCCUAAUACAUGCAAGUAGAACGCACAGUUUAUACCGUAGCUUGCUACACCAUAGACUGUGAGUUGCGAACGGGUGAGUAACGCGUAGGUAACCUGCCUGGUAGCGGGGGAUAACUAUUGGAAACGAUAGCUAAUACCGCAUAAUAUUGAUUAUUGCAUGAUAAUUGAUUGAAAGAUGCUAUUGCAUCACUACUAGAUGGACCUGCGUUGUAUUAGCUAGUAGGUGAGGUAACGGCUCACCUAGGCGACGAUACAUAGCCGACCUGAGAGGGUGAUCGGCCACACUGGGACUGAGACACGGCCCAGACUCCUACGGGAGGCAGCAGUAGGGAAUCUUCGGCAAUGGACGAAAGUCUGACCGAGCAACGCCGCGUGAGUGAAGAAGGUUUUCGGAUCGUAAAGCUCUGUUGUAAGAGAAGAACGGGUGUGAGAGUGGAAAGUUCACACUGUGACGGUAUCUUACCAGAAAGGGACGGCUAACUACGUG
Molecule: ribosomal RNA, 505 nt
Filed under: uncultured bacterium
Lineage: Bacteria
Description: partial 16S ribosomal RNA
Rfam family: Bacterial small subunit ribosomal RNA
Source: RNAcentral